UAUGAUCAUAUCACAUUGAAACACUGGUUUCUGUACAAUCACUGAAGUUAAGCAAUGUUGAGCCUGGUCAGUACCUAGAUGGGUGACCACUUGAGAAUACUAGCUGCUGUAAG
Molecule: ribosomal RNA, 113 nt
Filed under: Acanthosepion pharaonis
Lineage: Eukaryota; Metazoa; Mollusca; Cephalopoda; Sepiida; Sepiidae
Source: RNAcentral